AAAAAAGUGAAGCUCAAGCAUAUCUAUCAUUUCAAACAAAUUGCUAUAGGUGUUAAACAUGAAGUUGAAUGCUUAAUCAAGGAAUCAAUGAAAAAAAAAUGGUGUAACACAAGCAUGGAUUUGAUAGGGAAAUUUUAAGGAGUUUUUAAGGCAAGUUUCGAAAGAGUCAAUGAAGAUGCAUUCACAUGCAUCAGUAGAAGUGGAGUACUUAAAUAGAGAAACGUGGAUAAACCAAAGAAUUUUGUCAUGAGUGAGCAUCAAUUUUAAACCAAUAUCUAAUUAUUAAGACAUAUGUCUGUGAUGAUAUUAUUAAGACAUAUGUCCAUGAUGAUAUAAUUUUGUACAUUAUUAUUAUUAUAUACAUGUAAAAUAGGUGACACUUCCACUGUUCCUAAGAACAAUGAAAGUGCCAUUUCGCCCUUUUCUCUUUAUUUUGAUUGGAUGAACACGUGAUGCAGUAACAAGCAAGUUAUGGUUUUGGACAUUGGCACUUGAGCGUGUUCACAUGUCUACGCAAAAGCAUCAUUUAUAAGAUUCAAGAAAAUAUCCCUCCAAUCUGAAAGUCCUGAUCAUGAUGAACAGGUAUAAUUGGUAUUUUAAUAAUAAUUACAUUUUAU
This 617-nucleotide unclassified non-coding RNA is filed under the name Hevea brasiliensis (rubber tree). Lineage: Eukaryota; Viridiplantae; Streptophyta; Magnoliopsida; Malpighiales; Euphorbiaceae. The record is from RNAcentral.